UACGAAGGGGGCUAGCGUUGUUCGGAAUUACUGGGCGUAAAGGGCUCGUAGGCGGCCAACUAAGUCAGACGUGAAAUCCCUCGGCUUAACCGGGGAACUGCGUCUGAUACUGGUUGGCUUGAGUGUGGGAGAGGGAUGCGGAAUUCCAGGUGUAGCGGUGAAAUGCGUAGAUAUCUGGAGGAACACCGGUGGCGAAGGCGGCAUCCUGGACCAUUACUGACGCUGAGGAGCGAAAGCCAGGGGAGCAAACGGG
Molecule: ribosomal RNA, 253 nt
Filed under: uncultured bacterium
Lineage: Bacteria
Description: partial 16S ribosomal RNA
Rfam family: Bacterial small subunit ribosomal RNA
Source: RNAcentral